AACGCGUCAGUAAGUGUUGUGUUGGGAAGAAAGAAAGAUCCACCAUGGCUGCCAUUUUUAAGCUGCUAAUCGUGGUGUUGCUCCUGUCCCUGGUCACCUGCGGCUUGGCGCUGCCUGAGGCCACGCGAAGGAAGGGCCACAGGAGAAGGGGCGGCGGUUAUGGCAAAGGCAGGGGAGGCGGGCAUAGGAGUGGCGGCUACGGCAAGAGAGGAGGCUAUGGGAAGUAAGAUUAAUUUGAGUUCCUGAUUCCACCACUACCAACACCACCACUACCACCGUCACAGUCAAGCCUGUCAUUGUCCCCGCUGGAUCACUUUCUCUUCGCUGCCUUCUGCCAAGCCACCCCCAACAGCAGAACUUUCCCUCCCUCGCUCUGAGUUUCCCUCAAGCCCAGGCUUAAAACUAUUCUGAAACACUUCUGCGCCGCAGCUCCACUACAUUCAGAUACUUUUUAAUGGUGUUUUUACGGUUCUGGUGACAGAUUUCUACAUCAUUAACAGGAGAAAGACUCUUGAGAACUCGGCUUAUCAUCUCUAUGGCCUUAGAAUAUAGUCGUGGUGAAGUUGCACGUUUUUUUAAGAUUUUUUUUUUUUUUCCGGUUCUAGUGACAGAUUCAUAGGACUUCUACACUGUUAACAGGAAAAACACCUUUGAGAAUCUGCUAAUGAUCUCUGUGACCUUAGAAGAUAUUCCUGGUGAGAAGGCAAAGCCUUUUAGAAUACAAACCUUAAUACAGCAACGCUGGUUUAUUCAUAGAAAAGAUUACUCCUUCAUUAUUUAUUUAGAAAACUUAUCCCAUCGCCUUAUAUAUUAUCAAGGAAUCGUGCUUUAUUUGUUUUCUUACUCGACUGAUUCACGUAGACAAGUCAAAUGUUUCCUUUAAGUCUGUGAUGCUGGUUGCCUUUCAAUCUGUGUGGCUUCUUUUCCUCAUGAGUGCUAUUACAAUGCGUAGCUGUGAAGUCCCUGUGUGCUGAUCUUGUGGAUAUGAGGAGUCUUCGCCUUUAAUAUCCUGCAUCCCUUACUUUAAAUUAAACACUGUAGCUAAUUUUAAACGGUAAUGACCAAGAGGCACACCACUUUUCAUUUCUUCUUUGGUGUCUGGGAUGUGACUGUCGCUUGAGGAAGUGAGGGUGUGUUUGAACACUUGUGUGAAGUGCUUAGAUCAUAUAAAAAAAAACAAGGGAAGCUGCAACAAGCCGUCAUGCUUACACCCUGUAUAAAACAUAUCUAUCUAGUUCCAUCCAUCAGCCUUAUCCAUAAAAUUGUCAAAUUUUUCUUUUACAGUUCCCUAAUGAUUAUUACUAAGUAUGUUCCAUUUAUCUGCCACUAUUUGAGAACUAAUUCCUUCCUAUCUCUUUUUUAAACUUAAUGAAACAUACCUACCCAUUUCUACCUAUCAAUUCUCAUCCAGAAAUUUCUCUCUUUUAAAGAUCCUUAAUAACUGAGCACUAGCAACCUGCUAAUUACUGAGUUUGAUCCAUUCACCUACCAUUGUGUGUGAGAUGUUUGUAUUUGUGGUUAGGUAGGUGCCUAUGUUUUCUAGUUCUCAGGAUCUCAAAUCGGUGCAAAAUAUACAGAAAUCGUAUUUUUCCAUAAACUGACAAAAAUGUAUUCGUCAACUCUUUGCACUCAUUUCACGUCCUCGUGACCACCUCAUUGAAACAUUAUCUUCGUGAGUCAUGCACCUUCACCGCUUGUUAUUCACCGAUCUAAUAAAAAAGUGAAAAAUUCAUAUGAAGUUGAAUAAAUUUGUGAAUUUUUACCUCUACAAUGUA
This is a long non-coding RNA of Scylla paramamosain (green mud crab), 1775 nucleotides long. RefSeq lists it as uncharacterized. NCBI's taxonomy places the organism in Eukaryota, Metazoa, Arthropoda, Malacostraca, Decapoda, Portunidae. The record is from RefSeq and is a predicted model, not a curated record. The transcript is spliced from 3 exons.